This 85-nucleotide transfer RNA is filed under the name Pasteurella multocida. Its description in RNAcentral is "tRNA-Leu". It matches the Rfam family "tRNA". Rfam says of the family: Transfer RNA (tRNA) molecules are approximately 80 nucleotides in length. Their secondary structure includes four short double-helical elements and three loops (D, anti-codon, and T loops). The record is from RNAcentral. Lineage: Bacteria; Pseudomonadati; Pseudomonadota; Gammaproteobacteria; Pasteurellales; Pasteurellaceae. RNAcentral also lists the same sequence under 2 other names.
GCCUGGGUGGCGAAAUUGGUAGACGCAGUUGAUUCAAAAUCAACCGCCUUCGGGUGUGCCGGUUCGAGUCCGGCUUCAGGCACCA